Molecule: microRNA precursor, 78 nt
Filed under: Mesocricetus auratus (golden hamster)
Lineage: Eukaryota; Metazoa; Chordata; Mammalia; Rodentia; Cricetidae
Description: miRNA (ENSMAUG00000001569.1)
Source: RNAcentral
UACAGAUGGUUGUGAGCCACCAUGUGGUUGCUGGGAAUUGGACUCAGGACCCCUGGAAGUGCUCUUAACUGCUGAGCC